UACAGAGGGUGCAAGCGUUGUUCGGAAUUAUUGGGCGUAAAGGGCGCGUAGGCGGUGCUGUAAGUCUGUAGUGAAAUCUCUGGGCUCAACUCAGAGUCUGCUAUAGAAACUGCAGUGCUGGAGUGUGGGAGAGGUGAGUGGAAUUCCCGGUGUAGCGGUGAAAUGCGUAGAUAUCAGGAGGAACACCGGUGGUGCAGACGGCUCUCUGGACCGCGACUGACGCUGAAACACGAAAGCGUGGGUAGCAAACAGG
Molecule: ribosomal RNA, 253 nt
Filed under: uncultured bacterium
Lineage: Bacteria
Description: partial 16S ribosomal RNA
Rfam family: Bacterial small subunit ribosomal RNA
Source: RNAcentral